RNAcentral lists this ribosomal RNA (389 nucleotides) under Cryptoporus volvatus. RNAcentral's name for it is "LSU rRNA". It matches the Rfam family "Bacterial large subunit ribosomal RNA", at positions 1718 to 2101 of the family's 2925-position model. Lineage: Eukaryota; Fungi; Basidiomycota; Agaricomycetes; Polyporales; Polyporaceae. The record is from RNAcentral.
CAAAUUAUCCUCAUAAGUUUGACGAAAAGAGGACCGCACAUUAUAAUAAAUAAAUAUUUAUAUAAGGUGGUGGCACAUAAUCGGAGGCCCCGACUGUUUACUAAAAACACAGAUCACAGCAAUCAUGUAAAUGAUAGUAUUGUGGUCGAAAUUUGCCCGAUGCCAUUAAUAUAAGAGAGGUUAUGGAAUUCUGUAACUAAUCGAAAGUCUGGUUAAUAGCGGUCUUAACUAUGAGGAUCCUAAGGUAGCAAAAUCAAUUGGCCAUUAAAUGUGGUCCGGUAUCAAUAAUGUAACGAGGGCCUCACUGUCUCUACAACUUGCUCAGUGAAAUUGAAUUACCCGUGCAGAUGCGGGUUGCCUUCAGGGGACGGGAAGACCUAUGCAAGCUU